RNAcentral lists this ribosomal RNA (460 nucleotides) under uncultured bacterium. Its description in RNAcentral is "partial 16S ribosomal RNA". It matches the Rfam family "Bacterial small subunit ribosomal RNA", at positions 338 to 795 of the family's 1533-position model. The record is from RNAcentral.
CCUACGGGAGGCAGCAGUGAGGAAUAUUGGUCAAUGGACGCAAGUCUGAACCAGCCAUGUCGCGUGCAGGAAGACGGCCCUAUGAGUUGUAAACUGCUUUUGUACGAGGGUAAACGCAGAUACGUGUAUCUUUCUGUAAGUACCGUACGAAUAAGGAUCGGCUAACUCCGUGCCAGCAGCCGCGGUAAUACGGAGGAUUCAAGCGUUAUCCGGAUUUAUUGGGUUUAAAGGGUGCGUAGGCGGUCGGUUAAGUUAGGGGUGAAAUCCUGAGGCUCAACUUCGGAAUUGCAUUUGAUACUGUUCGGCUAGAGAGUAGUUGCGGUAGGCGGAAUGUAUGGUGUAGCGGUGAAAUGCUUAGAGAUCAUAAAGAACACCGAUUGCGAAGGCAGCUUACCAAGCUACUACUGACGUUGAGGCACGAAAGCGUGGGGAGCAAACAGGAUUAGAUACCCCUGUAGUC